GUACUCGUCUCUGAUCUCCUUCGCGACCGUUCUCUCGUUGGCCAAAAGGAACUGAUAGAAAAAUCUGAGCAGGAGGAAACAAAGGGCAGAAGAACGACGUUUCUGAGCUUCAAGAAAUAAAUAUGAGUACAAUGAAUACUGCAGCUGAAUAACAGAAACUUUAAAAAUAUGUUUCUGUAGAGACUCGAAGGAAAGCUAAACACAAACAAAGCCUGACGCAGCCUCACCUGUACUUCAGCAGCGUGUUCUGUGGGAUCUGGUAGUUGGUCAUCGGCUUCCUGAAGGAGUAGAUCUUCUGAAGGAUGAACUCUCGGAUCUUUGACACCGCCUGGAAAACAUCAGAGAAGCCAAAGAAAAUCCAUCCACCACAGAGAAGACUGAGAUAAACAGCUGGUGGAGAUAAAUUUUGAGGCGGUCGACGAUGUCCUGGAUGUCGGAGCAGGCCAGCGUCUCUCUGAAGCUCAGCUCUUUGGCAAAGUUGAUCUUGUUGUUGAGUUCGUGGAGCUGCUCCAGAAACUCCUGCUCCGUCACCGGGCUGUCCAGGAUGGUGCUGCAACGACACGGACGGCGUCAGACAAACGAUCUUCAGUAAGUUUACCCGUCGCCGCCCCCCUCCCCGUCACACUCACGAGAUCAUGGCUCCGGGCACCACCAGCUCGUCCACCAGCUGGCUGAGGUGGCUGCGCACCGCCUGCCUGUUCUUCAGCCGGACGUUCAUGCUGACCGACUGCUGCUGCAGGGUCUGGAUCUCGCUGCUGAUGGAGGACAGGUCGCUCUGGAAGCCGCUCAGCAUGCCCUCCAUCCGCUGAAGGAACGAGAGGACAGACAGAAAACGACUGUCGGGUUAAAGAGGAGCACGUGGCUGCAGAACAUCAUGCAGUGGGAUCAGGAUGGCGGCGCCUCGUCUUACCUCCAGUAUGGAGUCACAGGCGGUGAUCUGGUUGUGCAGGAGAGCGAUGUUCUGACUCUCUUUGAUGUCUGACAGAUGAACAGUCAGGAAAAACAACAGAGGAUCAUCUGGGUUUCAUUUCAAACUCCUCCCAAAACACUUAAGAAAAUAAAACCUGAUUCAAAUAAAAAUCUAAAUGAGCCACAACUUCACAUAAUGAGAAGUUGAACGUGU
This is a long non-coding RNA of Chelmon rostratus (copperband butterflyfish), 1123 nucleotides long. RefSeq lists it as uncharacterized. The transcript has 3 exons. The record is from RefSeq and is a predicted model, not a curated record. Lineage: Eukaryota; Metazoa; Chordata; Actinopteri; Chaetodontiformes; Chaetodontidae.